AACGUAGGUGGCAAGCGUUGUCCGGAAUUACUGGGUGUAAAGGGAGCGCAGGCGGAGCGGCAAGUUGGAGGUGAAACCCAUGGGCUCAACCCAUGAACUGCCUUCAAAACUGUCGGUCUUGAGUGGUGUAGAGGUAAGCGGAAUUCCCGGUGUAGCGGUGGAGUGCGUAGAUAUCGGGAGGAACACCAGUGGCGAAGGCGGCUUACUGGGCACUAACUGACGCUGAGGCUCGAAAGCAUGGGUAGCAAACAGG
RNAcentral lists this unclassified non-coding RNA (253 nucleotides) under uncultured Oscillospiraceae bacterium. RNAcentral's name for it is "contains 16S-23S intergenic spacer region". It matches the Rfam family "Bacterial small subunit ribosomal RNA", at positions 524 to 776 of the family's 1533-position model. The record is from RNAcentral. Lineage: Bacteria; Bacillati; Bacillota; Clostridia; Eubacteriales; Oscillospiraceae.